AUACAUGCAGUCGAGCGAAUUGAUGGGAGCUUGCUCCCCUGAUAUUAGCGGCGGACGGGUGAGUAACACGUGGGUAACCUGCCUGUAAGAUUGGGAUAACUCCGGGAAACCGGAGCUAAUACCGGAUAACAUGUUGAACCGCAUGGUUCAACAUUGAAAGAUGGCUUUUGCUAUCACUUACAGAUGGACCCGCGGCGCAUUAGCUAGUUGGUGAGGUAACGGCUCACCAAGGCAACGAUGCGUAGCCGACCUGAGAGGGUGAUCGGCCACACUGGGACUGAGACACGGCCCAGACUCCUACGGGAGGCAGCAGUAGGGAAUCUUCCGCAAUGGACGAAAGUCUGACGGAGCAACGCCGCGUGAACGAUGAAGGCCUUCGGGUCGUAAAGUUCUGUUGUUAGGGAAGAACAAGUACCAGAGUAACUGCUGGUACCUUGACGGUACCUAACCAGAAAGCCACGGCUAACUACGUGCCAGCAGCCGCGGUAAUACGUAGGUGGCAAGCGUUGUCCGGAAUUAUUGGGCGUAAAGCGCGCGCAGGUGGUUUCUUAAGUCUGAUGUGAAAGCCCACGGCUCAACCGUGGAGGGUCAUUGGAAACUGGGGAACUUGAGUGCAGAAGAGGAAAGU
This 628-nucleotide ribosomal RNA is filed under the name Bacillus sp. (in: firmicutes). Its description in RNAcentral is "bacterial SSU rRNA". It matches the Rfam family "Bacterial small subunit ribosomal RNA", at positions 51 to 662 of the family's 1533-position model. Lineage: Bacteria; Bacillati; Bacillota; Bacilli; Caryophanales; Bacillaceae. The record is from RNAcentral.